GACGGAGGCCCCGAGCGUUGUUCGGAAUUACUGGGCUUAAAGCGCGUGUAGGCGGGUCGGUAAGUGCUUUGUGAAAGCCCCGGGCUCAACCCGGGAAUUGCUUGGCAUACUGCCGGUCUUGAGGCAGGUAUGGGUCACUGGAACCUUAGGUGUAGCGGUGAAAUGCGUAGAUAUCUAAGGGAACGCCGGUGGCGAAAGCGGGUGACUGGGCCUGUCCUGACGCUGAGACGCGAAAGCGUAGGGAGCAAAC
This 250-nucleotide ribosomal RNA is filed under the name uncultured bacterium. Its description in RNAcentral is "partial 16S ribosomal RNA". It matches the Rfam family "Bacterial small subunit ribosomal RNA", at positions 524 to 773 of the family's 1533-position model. The record is from RNAcentral.